RNAcentral lists this ribosomal RNA (580 nucleotides) under Chryseobacterium sp. JRI13. RNAcentral describes it as "bacterial SSU rRNA". It matches the Rfam family "Bacterial small subunit ribosomal RNA", at positions 416 to 996 of the family's 1533-position model. The record is from RNAcentral. Lineage: Bacteria; Pseudomonadati; Bacteroidota; Flavobacteriia; Flavobacteriales; Weeksellaceae.
CUAUGGGUUGUAAACUUCUUUUGUAUAGGGAUAAACCUACUCUCGUGAGAGUAGCUGAAAGUACUAUACGAAUAAGCACCGGCUAACUCCGUGCCAGCAGCCGGGGUAAUACGGAGGGUGCAAGCGUUAUCCGGAUUUAUUGGGUUUAAAGGGUCCGUAGGCGGAUCUGUAAGUCAGGGGUGAAAUCUCCACAGCUUAACUGUGAAACUGCCAUUGAUACUGCCGGUCUUGAGUGUUGUUGAAGUAGCUGGAAUAAGUAGUGUAGCGGUGAAAUGCAUAGAUAUUUCUUAGAACACCAAUUGCGAAGGCAGGUUACUAAGCAACAACUGACGCUGAUGGACGAAAGCGUGGGGAGCGAACCAGGAUUAGAUACCCUGGUAGUCCACGCCGUAAACGAUGCUAACUCGUUUUUGGGUUUUCGGAUUCAGAGACUAAGCGAAAGUGAUAAGUUAGCCACCUGGGGAGUACGAACGCAAGUUUGAAACUCAAAGGAAUUGACGGGGGCCCGCACAAGCGGUGGAUUAUGGGUUUAAUUCGAUGAUACGCGAGGAACCUUCCAAGGCUUAAAUGGGAAAUGACA